CCUACGGGAGGCAGCAGUGGGGAAUAUUGGACAAUGGGUGCGAGCCUGAUCCAGCCAUGCCGCGUGCAUGAAGACGGCCUUCUGGGUUGUAAACUGCUUUUGCCAGGAGAUAAAAAGUCCCUGCGGGAAAAAUUGAAGGUACCUGGUGAAUAAGCCACGGCUAACUACUUGCCAGCAGCCGCGGUAAUACCUAAGUGGCAAGCGUUAAUCGGAAUUACUGGGCGUAAAGCGUGCGCAGGCGGUGCUGUAAGACACGCGUGAAAUCCCCGGGCUUAACCUGGGAAUGGCGCUUGUGACUGCAGUGCUGGAAUGCGGCAGAGGGGGAUGGAAUUCCGCGUGUAUCAGUGAAAUGCGUAGAUAUGCGGAGGAACACCUAUGGCGAAGGCAAUCCCCUGGGCCUGCACUGACGCUCAUGCACAAAAGCGUGGGCAGCAAACAGGAUUAGAUACCCUGGUAGUCCACGCCCUAAACGAUGUCAACUGGUUGUUGGGUCUCUUCUGACUCAGUAACGAAGCUAACGCGUGAAGUUGACCGCCUGGGGAGUACGGCCGCAAGGUUGAAACUCAAAUGAAUUGACGG
RNAcentral lists this ribosomal RNA (579 nucleotides) under uncultured bacterium. RNAcentral's name for it is "bacterial SSU rRNA". It matches the Rfam family "Bacterial small subunit ribosomal RNA", at positions 338 to 916 of the family's 1533-position model. The record is from RNAcentral.